RNAcentral lists this ribosomal RNA (460 nucleotides) under uncultured bacterium. Its description in RNAcentral is "partial 16S ribosomal RNA". It matches the Rfam family "Bacterial small subunit ribosomal RNA", at positions 338 to 795 of the family's 1533-position model. The record is from RNAcentral.
CCUACGGGAGGCAGCAGUGAGGAAUAUUGGUCAAUGGACGAGAGUCUGAACCAGCCAAGUAGCGUGAAGGAUGACUGCCCUAUGGGUUGUAAACUUCUUUUAUAUGGGAAUAAAACGUUCCACGAGUGGGAUUUUGUAUGUACCAUAUGAAUAAGGAUCGGCUAACUCCGUGCCAGCAGCCGCGGUAAUACGGAGGAUCCGAGCGUUAUCCGGAUUUAUUGGGUUGAAAGGGAGCGUAGGUGGAUUGUUAAGUCAGUUGUGAAAGUUUGCGGGUCAACCGUAAAAUUGCAGUUGAAACUGGCAGUCUUGAGUACAGUAGAGGUGGGCGGAAUUCGUGGUGUAGCGGUGAAAUGCUUAGAUAUCACGAAGAACUCCGAUUGCGAAGGCAGUUCACUGGACUGCAACUGACACUGAGGCUCGAAAGUGUGGGUAUCAAACAGGAUUAGAUACCCCUGUAGUC